This 105-nucleotide transfer RNA is filed under the name Lentinula raphanica. RNAcentral's name for it is "tRNA-Ala". It matches the Rfam family "tRNA". From Rfam's summary of the family: Transfer RNA (tRNA) molecules are approximately 80 nucleotides in length. Their secondary structure includes four short double-helical elements and three loops (D, anti-codon, and T loops). Further hydrogen bonds mediate the characteristic L-shaped molecular structure. tRNAs have two regions of fundamental functional importance: the anti-codon, which is responsible for specific mRNA codon recognition, and the 3' end, to which the tRNAs corresponding amino acid is attached (by aminoacyl-tRNA synthetases). tRNAs cope with the degeneracy of the genetic code in two manners: having more than one tRNA (with a specific anti-codon) for a particular amino acid; and 'wobble' base-pairing, i.e. permitting non-standard base-pairing at the 3rd anti-codon position. The record is from RNAcentral. Lineage: Eukaryota; Fungi; Basidiomycota; Agaricomycetes; Agaricales; Omphalotaceae.
GGGCAUGUAGCGUAGGGGUUAUCGCGUUUGCUUUGCAUACAGGAUGGACUCCAUAUGAAUCUGAUGUUUUGCGAAAGGUCUCCGGUUCAAAUCCGGACUUGUCCA